CCUCCCUGCUGAGCCUGGUACAGGGACACUUCGUUCUGUGACUUUGAUUGCCGUCCCCUGAGGAUCACUGUUCUGCAGAGACAGACAUGGUCAUGCAAUUAGAAAGCUAAGGGAAAGUCCUACAGCCUCUCCCUGAAGAGGUAGAGGCAUUUCCCACUGCUCUGGACCUACACAGUGUUUAGCAGAGUUAGCCUGCAAUCUUAAGUCUAGAACAAAACAGUUUCAUUUCAACCAAAACCGAGUCACUUUCUUUCACUGAAAACAAUGGUUUAUAAGUAAUCUGACAUGACAUUUUACUUGUAAAAUCACCUAGGCAAUUGCUUGGAGAGAGUCUGUAACAACUGUAUAGGGAUGUAGUUAAAUACUACCAGGAACCACUUUUAUUCUAGGCCACUCCACACAUCCUUCAUUGUAUGACUACAAAAGUCUGUAACCUUCUUUGAAACAGCUCUCUAAUAAUGCCUGUCUUACUUGGUGUUUUCAAAUGACAAAAAACUUUAAGUGUAUAAAAUUUUCUAGUGCAUUCAAAAAAAAAAAAAAGCACCAUGCAGAAAUCUAUGGAGUCUCCUUAGACUUGCCUUUACUCCUUGACUGACUUUUAGAAAAGGAGGUACUAAGCAAGAUAGACAUUCUUCUAAAGCCAACCGGUAUUUAUAGGGAAGGUUUGUAUUAAAGUUGGAAACAUCCAGCAGGUGGGUUAAUUAUGGGGUAGGAAUAAUAAGGCUUGUUGAGCAUGCCUAAUCAAAUAUAUUUCAAAACUAUAAUGUUCGGAAUGGUUUUAGCUGUGCUGUCACUGACCAGUUUCUUGGUGUGGAUCUAGUUUCUGCUAAGAAUGAGCAAAAGCACCUCAGUAAGAAUUAACAAUAACUAUCUUGUGAAUAUGCACACCAGUGCUCUCGGGCUUGGCACUGAGGAGCCAUCUUGUGUUAGUGUAUGUGCAGAGCGAGGCUCACAGCCAGCCUGUGGAUAUCAUCACAUACUCAGAGACGGAACAGGAGUCCUCUGACACCUUCACUUUCCCUCCACACGACAUAUAAACCUUUGGCAUGAUUUCUCUGGUUAGUCUCUACCAUAUGCCAGAUUUAAGCUUCUCCAGAAUUCCCUGUUGUAGCAUCCUUCUAUGACUUCGUAAAUUCUCUUAUCCUUCAGAGGCUCCUCUCCAUGAGAGUUCUAACUCUUCUGGAACUGACACUGGAGAAACUCCUGACCUGCCGGGUUAUCUGUCUCAGUUAACUGCACCUAUUAAAAAUGUCCCUCCUUUUAACAUCUUCUGUUUGCAAAGUCUGUUGGUAUUCAUUAAAAAAAAAAAAAAGCCUGGGGAAGGAGGAGCCUCAGACUCAGUUGCAGAGUAACCAGUAAAGACCUGGCCCGCUCUGCAGAUGACACACUGAAUAACAGCUGCAUCAUUGCAUCUUCAUGACAUUUGACUCUAAGAUGAGAGCACAGAUACUGUGAGUGUGUGUUCCACACCUUUGAUGAUAAAGCAGAAGGGCCAGUAUAUAUCAUAUGAACAUUUAUUUCAUAAGGCCUCUAACUGCCCUGAAGGUCUAGAAUGUGACCUAGAGUAAGGUGAGAUCAGACCGGGGAGAAAUUCCAUACUUCUCCACACACAGAGGCUACAUCCCUCCUACUGCUGCCUCUGUGAACGUGAACUCAACCCGGGAAGACUGGAGGUUGUUAGUUUUAGGAUGAAUAGGCUGCAGCCAAGUCAGGCUCUCUAAGGCCAUGAUGCAACCAGAGUGAGAGAUUUACCACAAUUCUGAGUGUGCUACAUGAUUUAUAAUGCAAGACCCAUUUAUGUGUAACAAAGCUCUUUAUUUUUCAGUUCAUUAAACUUUUGUCCCAUACAAAGCAGUAAGCAUUCAAAUGUGAUGGCCUAUCAAGCCACACUGCCAGUCUCUUAGACUGGGAGAGGAACAUAGUGGUCAUGGAAAGUGGUACAAUAAUUUAUCAAACAAAGACUCCAUAGACAAAAGGUUUCAAGGAGUUGUUGCGCUCAUCCAUCCACUGUCUGCUGAGAGUGAUGGCAGCGCACCUGACCAGUUGGGUGUGUUUAUGUUUUACAGAGGUCAUAGAGUUUCCAGUGUGAGCUUGUUUACACUCCUGGUCUUCAUGGCAGCUACUCACUCUUUAUUCACAUGAAAGAAAUCCCUUCCUGUAUUGGGUCUGCCUUUUAGCACUUUGAUCCCAUGAGCCUUUGCUAAGUGAGCAUCAUGCCAGAGAGAGACCUGGAACACAGAGAUCCCCUCCACAGCUUGUACCAUGCAGUGAUUCUCAACUCAGUGGAAGGAGAUGACACCUACCCAAUUGACUCUUCUGUCAUCUGAAUGCAGUGAUAGUGCAGAAGGAAGAUGCUGUACCAUUUUGUAUUAGGAUUUGGGUGUAUAUGUAUUUUUGGAAUCCCAAGAGAGUCCUGGAUGCACGUAUCCAUAAAUGGCGAAAUUGAGUCUUGCUUUCUUUGUUAGCACUGAGGUCAAACCAAGGGCCUUACACGUUCUCUGCAGGUAGAGGACCACUAAGCUGCAUCAAUAACCCUGUGAAGUUUAUUCUCCUAAUUUUUAUAAACUCACUAAGUUCAUACUUAGUGAAGUCAUGGAGCCACACCAGAUUUUGACACCCCCCCCCCCGAGUUUCUACAGACCAUUUCCAUUUGAACACACCAAGAGGAUGUAUAGGUUCCUAUGGCCGUAGAGCUCACCAGAAAAUACAUGUGACAACCAGCCAACCAAUGAAUAGGGCACUGUGUUGUGUUGGUUCAUUUCAUUUCCUUCCCUUUUGCUUUUCCUAUGGCCGUAGAGCUCACCAGAAAAUACAUGUGACAACCAGCCAACCAAUGAAUAGGGCACUGUGUUGUGUUGGUUCAUUUCAUUUCCUUCCCUUUUGCUUUUGGAGUUUUUGCGACGGGAUCUCAGUCUGCCAUCCAGGUUAACCUCAUACUUACUCGUGGCGACCUUGGCUCUGCCUCCUGAGUGCCUCAAAAGCAUACACUAUCAUGCCAUACCUUAAUUCCUUUCUCGUCACUUACCAAAUGGCACUUGCCUGGCCCAUGUCCUUUUGGCGCCUAAGUGCCAGGUGUUUUCUUCUCCUCCGCUUGGCUUGCUUUCCACUCUCAGUCCUGAGGUCUUUGCUGUGGUUGGAUGUGAGCUGCGUCCCCAUUGGCUGCAAGCCUUGUCCACACUAUGGAGAUAGAGAGAACUGAUGGCACCUUCAGAGAGGGACCUGGCAAGUGGUGGCUGGUACUUGGGGCAUUGCCUUCAGUAGGAACAGCGGUAGCUCUCGGGUACUUCACUGAGACAGGUCCUCUGAAAUCCACCCUGCUACUGUGUAAGUGAUUCCUUUCAUGUCUGCUACCAUGGUGAUAGAUCUACUUCAAGGCCCUCAGUAGGGAACAAGUAGAAAGCAUCACCUAGCACUGGUGUCUGAGCCUCCGAAACUCUGAAUUGUUUCUUUCUUGGAGAGAAAUACAAAAAGAAAGAGAAGAGCUAGGUAUGGAAUGGGCAGAAAUCUGUGACAGUUACCCAGUGAACCCCAUCUUAAAUCUUCAUGUAGGACCAUGGGUGCUUUUGACAAACACAUGUAGAUAUAUUUUUAGGAGGAUCCUAGUCAGUCACGACAGACUCCUCUGUUCUGUGAUUGAUCCAUGUAAGAUAUUUUAGAUUUGUUUCUGAAACUACAGUUUAGGAAUACAUAAAAUGGAGUAUAAAGGAAAAAACUAGUUUCAUGACAAGGGAUUUCCUAACCUAGUAUAGCAAAUAGCAGAUAAAAAUGAAUACAUGAGACCAUUCUCCUCGGUCAUCACUCUUAACUUCUGUUCAUAACAUAGCUCAGACCUGUUGCUGUUACUUCAAGAAGAGAAGCAAAGAAAGAUUGAAGUGAUUAGGAUCUUACUUCUCAGAGAUGAAUGCGUAUUUAUGGAUGGAGGCCAUCCUGAGCCCCACUGUUCAAAAGCUCAACAGAAAAAAAUUCAAGUAAAAUAAGUUUAAUUUUAAAGAAGCCCAAGUCUGAAAACUCUCUUGUCUCAGACAACUCAUGUUCCUGAUUGACAGCCCAGGCUCUUGUGUGUCCCAGUGGAAAAUGCUACAGUAUGUCCAUAGAGGCCACCUCUCCAUCCUGACUCCCAGAAGCCAUAUUCACAGAGUAAUCUCCAGGGAAGAGCCUCUGUCUCGCCUAAGAGGACAGAGUCACCUCCUGUGGACACACCAGCAACUUUAAGCACAGGGGAUAUUUAAAGUGAAGGCUCCACGCCCUUAGUCCUUUCCGUUUAGAAUUAAUUUUGUGCAGGAAAUGUGAUUUUUCUCAGGCAGAUCCAUCUGUUUGUUCCCAAAAUACCUAUUUAUCACUGAUGAAAUAAGAUAAAAAUGGGGGCAGGGAGAACUUUUAAAUUUUGUUGAAGGAGUGAGUUAAUAGAAAAAAAAAUGAUGUUAGCUAGAUCGUAGGAUGGGAGAGAAGGCCUUAGAACCAUGAGCCAAGAAGAUGCAGGGCAGGGCAAGGUUUAACUCCAUGUACUGCCACCACCAUGCCUCCCUCCCUCAUCCCAAACACACUCAUACACAUUCUCACUUAUUUUUAUUUUAUAAUUCCAUCUUUUGUUCACUUCUGCUACAUCCAAACUUUAUUUUUAUAUAAAGCCAUUUUAAAAAUCUUGUUCAAGAUAAAACAAAAACCACUUUAACAUAUUGUCUAGAAAAAAAUGUUAGCAAUUAUUAGGAAGGCUUGGGGCAUAAAUCUGAGUGGAAUUAUUUUUUUCCUCCUUUCAUGAUUAAGAACUCCAAAAAAACAAAAAUGACUUUAUGCAGACCAGGUCAAACCUGCGAAUAGAUUUGGAUCUGUACUGACGACUGUUUUGCUGAGCACUGUGUAAUCAAAUGUGCCUCUUAACCUUUGGCCAUUAUAAUGAUCACCUUCAGCUGAAAACACACAUUAGCAGGCUGUAAGGAGACCAGAUCUCAUCUGACUGUGGGCAAGUUCUUGCUGACCCAAUUCAGUGUAGUGGCUGAGAUAAACAUGCCUCGAAAAUUCGUGUCUCUGUGACCUUGAAAGGUGACCCUUCUUGGACACAGUGUUUUGGGAGAUCUGAUUGGUUAGAUUAGCAUGGACCAAAGUGCAAGCAUGAAUACAUAGAUGCACAGAGGAAGAGGCCUUGGAACCCAGACAGACAAUGAGGCAGCGACAUGCUGAGAAACAGUAAGGAUACCUAAGGCCGUCAUAGAAAAGUUGUUCUUCUCUAGCGCCUUCAGGGUGAACAUGGACCUGCUGGCACCUGGAUUGUGGAAUCCUCUAGAACCCUGAGAGGAUACGUUUCUACUGUUUUCAGCCAUGAGUUUUCUGAGACUCUGUUCUGGCAGACCCAGAAAACAACUGUUUCUCAUGUUUCCGGAGGGGACUGUCAGAGCCAGGGUUCACCUUAGGACACAGGACAGGGACAAAAAUGAGUAAAGCGUUGUUCCCAAACAGUCCUCACAAAGUGGGACAGAAGGUCCAGAGGGGGCGGGGGCUUCUUUCUGUCUGUGUGUAAACCCAAUCACCUCUAUAGCUCAUUAGGGAAGAAAGGGAUUAACCAUGCAGGGCUGAGGUCUGCAUGUCCAGAUGUGACUGUCUCAGACUAAGGUUUGACUCCAAGCCCCUUGACUGGGUGUGCAUGAAGGAGGAGGCUUCCUAGAAGGGUGUGUGGUUUCUGUGUGCCCUGCUCUCGCCCAGGAGCCUUCUUUUCACUUUCUCUCCCAACAUCCUCGGAGCUCAGCUAGGAUUUAUAGAAGGCUGUAUUCAGCCAGAAGUCAUUCUGGGUUCCUGUACAGGGCAUGUGACGUGAUGCAUAUACAUCAUUCUCACUGUAACGCUCCGGCAGCUGCCUGCAGAACAUAUGCUUCCUGGGUUUUCUCUCAAAGAUGGCUGCUGCGUUUCCCAUUUAAAACAUCGCAGAUCAAUACCCUAAAGAUCCUUGGCGUGGCCAUCAUCAUCAUUUGAGAAUGAGCUCUAGGUAAAGCCUUGAUAAGCGGCCCCUUUUUUCCUCCCUUUUAAUCCAGCGACUAGCUCCAUACGACGGCGCGUUCACGUUACUCUGCGGCUGUGCUACAUUCUGUCAUGGGAACUUAGGACUUUAUCAGCAGUGGAAGUGCGCACAUGAGGCUGGCUCUGUUAACUUCCACCACUCCUGCGCCCAGGCCACCAGGUCAUUUAUUUAUUUUUAUUAUCCUAUUCCCACGUCAGCAUCUUGUCCUGAAGGACAACAAUAUACAACCCCAGUUUUUCUCAUCUAUCUUUGUGUACGCAGAAUGUUAUUAAGCCUGUCAAAGGAGCUGCACUUGUGCCUGUGCCUAUGAGUGUAAUUAAACUACACCCGCAAUUAGUCAUUUUAACCCAUAUAAUGGAUGAGCGCUUGAUCCCACGGUGCCACUAAUUCUAGAGUGACCUUGAGCAAACCCGUCACAAAGUAAUGCUGAUGAUAAUCGCACCGAGACUAGAGGCUCUGAGGACAUUAUCUUUAUCUGGUUUACUCUCUCAUUAGCCACAGGUAAGAAGAAAAAAAAUUAUUUUUUAUGUUAGUAUCAUGCCAGCAUUAUCAGCCUACUCAGAUGAAUGUUCUUUAUAUUGUAUGCACACAUGCAUAUGCUGUGCCUGGAUCAAAUCUACUCCCCAUUCUUGCCCUCCAAUCUCUCUCUUGUCUUCCUUACAUUUACCUCCCAAAUUCAUGUGCUGUCUUUUAAAGCUCAUUUAGUGUUGCCUCUAUGUGUAUGGGUUGCUGCCAUGUCCUAGAACAUGGAGACCCCCUCCAGGCCCACAUCCCUCACUUGUACUGACUCUCCCUCUCCCCACUGUAAUAAACAUCAGUAACUCCUGAGAUGUGGGUGGGGUCUCAUGAGCCCCUGCCCCAUCCAUGCUUGGCUUUUGCCGAUGUUAUAGCAAUGUCAUAACCAUGUGCAGCCCCAGCCACUGUGAGCUCACAUGUGCAGCUGCACUACCAUUCCUGUCCAUUGUUGCUCUUGCUACAAACAUUUACCUUUGGCGUAUACAAUCCUUCUCAACCCUCUUAUGUGAUGAUCUAUGCACCUUGGCAGAAGGAAAUGUGAUACAGAUGUCCUAGUUAGAAUUCAGAGCUCCAUAGUUUCAUAUUCUCUGCACAUUGACCUGAUAGACAUCUCCAUAUCAAUUGCCUUCUACCACAAAAAGAAUCGUCCUUUUAACAGAAUAAUAAAUAGUACAGUGUUCUCCCUAGUCCUGUGAUCCAGUUUCAGGGUCCCAGUUAGUGGUUCCAGGGGUUCCAUCUUAUGAGGUGGUCCUUACAUCCAAUCAGAAAAUAGUUGUCUACUCGAGUAAGUAUACCACAAUUACACUGGUAGUCAUAGCCUCGCAGGCUAUUGUUGCUGCAAUGCAGGGUUCACAGCUAUGCACUGCUCUUGAUGAGUCUCCCCUAGCAGCAUCCAAACAACCUUCCAGAACUAAGCACAUGGCCCAUAGGACUGAACCUUCAUAGUUUGAAGGUGUUGGAUGUUGAACUCUGGGCUGGCUUACCCAUCUGCACCAGGAUGUGGGUAUGGUCCAGCUGCAUGGAGCCCUCUUUACCUAGGUGCUGGGAGUGGAAAUGGAAUCUCUCUAAGUAGUAAGCAGAUAGAUACUACACUGUUUGCUCCCCCGCCCUCUUCUCCACAUCUAGACAUCAAGUGGCAGUACCUCACUGGCCAGAGGGUCUGAUGUGGGUGAGACAUGGUUUUCUUGAGUAGCAAAGAUUACCCAGGGUGAGACCAUGGAGGUCAGCGGUGAAGAACUAGGGAGGCUGAGAGCUCACAGACUAAGAGUUUGCUGCCUGGCUAGCAGCCACAUUGGUAGCAGGGCUGUGCACCCUGUCACUAGCAACUCACUUCCCUUAGCUCAGUCAGCAGAAGAUAGAAAAGUCAUUUAGACUUGCUCAGUAGCUAUGCCAAUGUAUCAUAGGCUGUGUGACUUAAGUCACGGGAUCCGUGUCCUCACAACUGUGUGCCAGUGAGCUUGUCCUUCUAAGGGAUCUCCCCUGAACUAGCAGGUCUCUGUCUUCCAUGGAUCUUCAUGGGGUCUCCUCUCAGGGCAUCUCUACCUAAAUUUUCUUUUCCUUUAAGAUCAUCCAUCAGACCAGGCUAAGAUCAAAGAUGUUAUUCUAACAAGAUUGCCUGGUUUUAAAGGCCCUGCCUUUAAACACAGUUGCAUCAUAGCAAGUCACAUAAUGUGCUUGUACAAAGGCCACACCUCUGAGAAAAAAAUGGAUAGAGAAACCAGGAGAGCCAUCAAAGCAAAGUUCAGUUUUCUCUCAGAUGAGGAGACAAGGGAAGGGGGAGGUGGACAGAGAAGGAGAGAGGAUGCCAUGAUGCAGCGGUGGUCGCUGGAAUGUCUUAGCCUGACAGAGCUCAUCAACCCACUGGAGAGUUUCUCAGCUCAGUCAUCCUUUACAGGAGCCGAGUUGCCCAGAGACGAGCUUGCCUUGUGACUGCUGUAGGUCUAUCAGUCACUGGCUCCAGCAUACAGGGGAGAUGAACCCUUGGUGUGAAGGCAGACACAGUGAUGGAUUUCAGGGCACAGCAGACAGAUACUAUGAGUGAGUGACACUCCUUCUUCUGUAGUCUAGGAGUGCGCUCUCCUGGAGCCGACACCAGCAUUUCCAUUCUCUGUGGACUAGCUGCACGAAGUUCCAAUGUGUGAUCAGGACGUUGCCUCUUGUGAAAGUCGAACAAAAGAAUGGUGAAGCUCUGCAGCUGCAGAGGGAGACUUUAGACACAGCCCAUCUGAGCACCUACCCCACAGCUUGAAGGUACAGAGGCUCUGACUGGGAAGCAGGAGGCUGAUGGAGAAAGAGGCACUUUGCCGCUCACCUUCCAAUCUUCUUUCUUUUUCCUUGGAAAUUCACUGAGCUGUGAAGACUUAUUCAGGAGACUCCACAAGGCAAGGAGCACAGAGACCCAUAGAGAUCCAAUUCUUCUGGCCUCGGAGUAAGUCUCACCAUCGCUUCGUAUCAAUGACCAUGAGUUCUUAGAAGAAAGUACCUUUUAUCGAUGAGGGAAAAAAUUGGUCCAACCAUCUGAAUUAUUGUGCUUUCAAUAACAGCCUCCUUGCUCUGACUCUGAACAUUAGGUCCUGGUCUACUCUAUGAGCAUCACACGUGACCCAAGAAUUGCCUCUUCACAUCCCAACUUAAAUGGCUGCCAUUCAUAGGCCUCCCACAACAAAUUGAGGCUUCCUUGACCCCUUUCAAAGCUUCCCUGCCUUUGAUGACUACGUGCCCAGUGAAACCCAGCCACAUCAUAAGCUGCAUUGCCACAUAGCUGAGGAUCAUGACUGAGGUCACCAAUUCAUUCUCCCUAAAAUAUCAUCAUUCACCCGGCAAAUGCCUAGCUCAGUGACCAACAACGUGGCUGAAUCGCUGGAUGUACCUUCAGUGGCUGCUGUGCUAUAUGCCUGGUAACUGCUCUGCUCCCAUUCUCACCAAUGCAAGGACAUUUGCAAGUUUUCUGUUUGCUCAGAAGAUCUUCCCAAUGAGAGAGAGAGAGAGAGAGAGCUGCAUGACCUCAUGUUUGCACAUGAGAGCCAUGUCUUGGUUAUUGCUAUAUGAUUGCCUGUUUUCCAGUGUGAGUGUUUGUGGUCUAUCCACUAAAAGGUCUACUAUAUCAGUUAGUUCUAAGGAGCCACAGAAUGCUUUUUUUUCCUGUAACACAACUAUCUCUGCCCUCUCAGCUCAUUUGUAUUACUCUUGGUUCUUUAUUCAGUCAUCUGCCUAAUUUGAAGGAGACCAUUGGACCUUACCAACACAGACUGAAAACCAAUAAAUGGCACCACUACAGUGCUUUAGGAACCAAAUCUAUGUUUCUUUCCAAUUAAAAUUAAAAAUAAACUUGAAUGCUUAAGUGACUAGUCCUGGAUGUCAGAGCAGCAAACCUCCAUUCACCACGAUUCAAGCCUGCAUUCCAAGAGUCUAAAUAGGAAGCUCUUCUCAUGGUGCCUUGACCAUGGAAUCAGCUGGCAACACUCAACGCUGAAGUCAGCCAGAUAAAUGCUAAAUAGAUAGCUUAGCUAACUUUGAUGGGGGUCUCUUGUUCCACAUACAUAUAAAACGAAUUUCUAAGAUGUGUCAAGGACAUUGCUAGGUAACAUUAAAACAAAGACUAAUUCAACAUGAUAUUUGUGGUUUGAAAGACUCAAGGAAGUUUGAGUCUUGGUGAAUAGUGAGUAUACAUAAUGCCAUAAUUAAGGCCUUCGUAGUAUUGUUGAAAUUCCCUGGCUUAGGGGGCAUAGAUCACCCUAAAGAACACUAACUAACAAGACUCCAAGGUGGUGUUUCUGGGUAUGCAGAGCAGAGAUGGGCUAAAAGAAGAGGGGAGUCUGCUUUUCAUGUCUUGGAAUGGGCAAAGAGCUCAGUAUGGCUAUCUAGGAUAUGGUUAAUGAGGAGGGCGCCGAAAAAAGGGAAAGUAUCUGAUGCCAACGUUAAGAGUUCAAGAUAUGGGCACAGGGGAAAAAUUCCUGAACAGAACAGCAAUGGCUUGUGCUGUAAGAUCGAGAAUCGACAAAUGGGACCUAAUGAAACUCCAAAGUUUCUGCAAGGCAAAAGACACCGUCAAUAAGACAAAAAGACCACCAACAGAUUGGGAAAGGAUCUUUACCUAUCCUAAAUCAGAUAGGGGACUAAUAUCCAACAUAUAUAAAGAACUCAAGAAGGUGGACUUCAGAAAAUCAAAUAACCCCAUUAAAAAAUGGGGCUCAGAACUGAACAAAGAAUUCUCACCUGAGGAAUACCGAAUGGCAGAGAAGCACUUGAAAAAAUGUUCAACAUCCUUAAUCAUCAGGGAAAUGCAAAUCAAAACAACCCUGAGAUUCCACCUCACACCAGUCAGAAUGGCUAAGAUCAAAAAUUCAGGUGACAGCAGAUGCUGGCGAGGAUGUGGAGAAAGAGGAACACUCCUCCAUUGUUGGUGGGAGUGCAGGCUUGUACAACCACUCUGGAAAUCAGUCUGGCGGUUCCUCAGAAAACUGGACAUAGUACUACCGGAGGAUCCAGCAAUACCUCUCCUGGGCAUAUAUCCAGAAGAUGCCCCAACAGGUAAGAAGGACACAUGCUCCACUAUGUUCAUAGCAGCCUUAUUUAUAAUAGCCAGAAGCUGGAAAGAACCUAGAUGCCCCUCAACAGAGGAAUGGAUACAGAAAAUGUGGUACAUCUACACAAUGGAGUACUACUCAGCUAUUAAAAAGAAUGAAUUUAUGAAAUUCCUAGCCAAAUGGAUGGACCUGGAGGGCAUCAUCCUGAGUGAGGUAACACAUUCACAAAGAAACUCACACAAUAUGUAUUCACUGAUAAGUGGAUAUUAGCCCCAAACCUAGGAUACCCAAGAUAUAAGAUAUAAUUUGCUAAACACAUGAAACUCAAGGAGAAUGAAGACUGAAGUGUGGACACUAUGCCCCUCCUUAGAUUUGGGAACAAAACACCCAUGGAAGGAGUUACAGAGACGGAGUUUGGAGCUGAGAUGAAAGGAUGGACCAUGUAGAGACUGCCAUAGCCAGGGAUCCACCCCAUAAUCAGCAUCCAAACGCUGACACCAUUGCAUACACUAGCAAGAUUUUAUUGAAAGGACGCAGAUGUACCUGUCUCUUGUGAGACAAUGCCGGGGCCCAGCAAACACAGAAGUGGAUGCUCACAGUCAGCUAAUGGAUGGAUCAUAGGGCUCCCAAUGGAGGAGCUAGAGAAAGUAGCCAAGGAGCUAAAGGGAUCUGCAACCCUAUAGGUGGAACAACAUUAUGAGCUAACCAGUACCCCGGAGCUCUUGACUCUAGCUGCAUAUAUAUCAAAAGAUGGCCUAGUCGGCCAUCACUGGAAAGAGAGGCCCAUUGGACUUGCAAACUUUAUAUGCCCCAGUACAGGGGAAUACCAGGGCCAAAAGGGGGGAGUGGGUGGGCAGGGGAGUGGGGGUGGGUGGAUAUGGGGGACUUUUGGUAUAGCAUUGGAAAUGUAAAUGAGUUAAAUACCUAAUAAAAAAUGGAAAAAAAAAAAAAGAGUUCAAGAAGGGACAUCUGGAAAAAGUCUCUUUAUUUUGUAGACUACCAGAAACCAUGAAAGCAUGGUUAGAAGUUAGAGGUACCAUAUUCCCUGUGUUGUGUAAAUGCAGCUAUGUGCACAGUUGGAAGGUGGAGCAGAGAGAUGAGCAAGGACCUCAAGAGGUGGAUAAGGAGGCUGGUUGAGAGCAGGUAGGACCUAAGAGAGCACCGACCCUACUUGCUUCUCCUGGACUAUACCCUAGAAGUUAUAAGAAUCGCUUGAGUCAGAUGUCCUGUUUUUGAUGUUGAUAUGAGGUAGGUUCAGAUAUCUACAGGUCAGGUAUUGGAAAGACACUCCAAUCUAGAUCUGUUUGGAAAGUCACUUGCUGUUUGAUCUUGAACCACUGCAGUAUCCACAUUUUUCUCCAUUUCUAAAGGAUGAGCCAGUGAUGUACAUAUCACAGCCCUACCCUCAAGACAAAGAAAUUCAUGCAAGCAGGGCAUGGAAAGACUAUGUAUUUUUUUUUAUAUUCCCUUCCAAAUUAUCACUUACUUUAUAUGACAACAUAUAACAUCUUCACCACAUUGGUAUGAAAUCCAAUUAUUCUGAGUAUUUUAUUAGCAAUAAGGAAAUUCUUGCAUUUAUUGCAUCACUUGACAAGUUAAAACUGUUUGACUGGUGAGUAGAUGAAUUAUCCAUGUGGUUUGUCCAGCAACCCCUUCUGGUAAAUUGGAGAUAAAUGUGUUACUUUUUCUAGGGAUUGAAUGGGGAUAGAGUGGGAUGUAUUCUUAAUUCAGCAAAUGUGGGUAAAUAGCGUGCACUGUGCUAGGCACUGUGCUAGACCCUACUGGCAUUACUGUCAAGAAAGACACGCACAUGCACAGGCACACACACACACACACACACACACACACACACACACACACACACACAAACAUACACACACACAAGCAGUAAGUGGGACCAAGUGUAAAAUGGGACCCUGAAGGAACAUAGAUUGGAUUCAACCCAGUUGGGGAAUAAAGGACAUUUUCCUAUUGUUUACCAUGCUAAGGACUUCAAGUUUGACCAAAUGCAAAACUGAAGAUCUUGGAGAGGACUUGUACUUCGUUGUGUGUUUUCCAAGAAUCACGGCAGUAGUCCCAUGGAGCUUCCAUGGGAAGCAAGGUAGGAAGAAGAGCAGAAAGACUGUAUGAGAGACAGCAGGUGGUGGGUGGGUAAGGCCAUGGAGGAUGAGUGGUGGCUAGCUGUGGAGCUGCAGCUGACGGUGACAAUUGGAUGAGGUUUUGUGGGAAAGAGUCAAGAAUUAAAAGCUCAACUGACGGAUAUCCUGGCAUGUGACAGAGUAGUCAUUAGGGAAACACCCAAAUCAGUCAGUCUUUGGUUAACACCUCCAGUCUCAACCCUAUGUCUCCUCACAUGUACCCUCUACCCUUCCAUCUUCUGUCCUUCUCCCUUCUCUCAGAUUGCUUCCUCCCUCCCAUCUUCUCUUCUAUUACAUUUCUUGAUUGUGGUAGCCACAGACACACCUUGGAAGGUCUGUGUUUUCCUCAUAUUAUUUCUUUUCCGUUGGUCACUAACUUAAUCCAUGGCUUCCAUGGCAAAUUUCACAACUAAAGGGAAAAGAAGAAAGGGCCGGUUGUCUUUGUGCAGGCUUCGAUGACAAAAUACUUUCACUUGUGUCAUUCAAAAACAACAGAACUUUGUCCCUCUGUCCUGGAGGCCAACAUGUUCACUAUCUCAGUAUGGUUGCUUUCUGCAUCAAGCAUGAUGCCUUCUUGCUGUGUCUUCACAUGGGAGAAAGGGCAAACAUGUUCUCCAAGCCUGUUUUAUAAGAACACUGAUGCUAUUGAUGAGGGUUCCACUCUCCACCUAAUCUCCUCCCAGAAGCCUCACCCCUGAACACCUUCACCUUGGAGGUUAGUCUCAGCAUAUGAAUUUGGGGUAGGGUAAGGGAUAACACAAGAAUCCAUACCUUUGCAUUGGCCAAUGCAACUGUAGACAUAGAUGGUGUUCUGUGACCCACUUCCAAAAUUCAGAUCAAAUGGAGAGUGAUGGUGCAUCUCCCCUGCUUGUAACUUCAUGGAACUGCAGUGAGCCAUGUAGAAAAUACCCAGGGUUGCUAAAGAGUGUGAGCUAUGAACACACAACCUGUCAGAUGUGUCCAUGUGCACCAAAAGACAGGGAACUGUUGCUUUGAAGGCUGUAGCAGUUUGUAAUUUCUUUGAACUUGGAAUAGCCUAAUGCUGUGUGUUUGAUUUUUGUUCAGAUUCUACAAAAAAUUAUUCCACAUUGAGUGCUUGUGAUUAAUGUUAAAGUGGCACAGUAUGUUUCUCGGGGAUUUUAGCAAAUUAUCAGAUUAGGUGAAGUCUUUCAGUGCCUCUCAGAAGCAGCCACAGCCUGUGCAUUUGUAUGGCACAUAAGAAUCUUCUGGCAGUAUACAUUUUAAACAAACACAAAAAAAUCCACCUACUGUGUCUUCUUGUGGCUGUGUUCUUUACUGGUCAACAGAUCUCUAAAACUUUUCCAUUUUAGUACUCAUAAAAGAAUUUGUCAUCAGGGCAAUUAGAUUAAGAUGAACUCUAAGAAAACCCUGAGUUUCUGGCUUCUGUUUUCUAGGUUAUUGCUACACCACACUGAGGUCUUGGUGUGGUUUAUGCCCAGCUUCCAAGAAUUAUAAUUAUCUACAAAGAACAGUGAGGACAUGACAGGGAGACAUACCCUAGGCUGAGUGUCAAGAGCAAACACCUUCUCUUUUGUUUUUUCAGUGUUUCUUGAAGAGAAAAAAAAUGAUUAAAUGUAUAAUUUCAAAUAAAAUAUUCGUUUAUAUUUGUAUUUGCUCAAAACCAAGGGUGGUGAAAGAACUGAGACCCCUUAGAUGGUAGCAUUUGUUUGGCGUUGCCUCAGCUUAACCAUAGAACUCAGCUCUUGAUGGCCAUCCUGUGACCUGCUUACAGUAAUGCUUUGUAGAUUCUCAAAGUGUCUUUGCACCCGACCUUUUGACAGAGCUGUUAUAAUCCUUGAAUUUGCACAGCACAACUCUUUCCGCGGGCCACAGCAGUAAAAUGAGAUGAUGCCCCCUGAGGUCCCAUUAUCCCACACUCACACUGAGUGCCAGCCAUCUGGUGGCAGUAAACUGGGAGGAGCUACUCUCAGGUAUUACCUAGAACUGGUGAGAUUCUUGCACAGAUUGAGUUGCUGCUGCAAGAGGCAACUAAAAGUCCUAACGACCAUCUCCCAUCUUGUUGCUCAGAGCUUCUAAAAUGCUCCCAUGAGAAGAAACAGAAUGCUCAUCCAAUAUCCAUUAAGUAAGUCCUUGCACAGAAAUGUUAAAAUGGGCCUUUAUGUAACAUUGCACAGCGAGUCUCAGGCUUUAAGGAGCUGUCGUGACAUGUUACUGAAGACCAGGCUCACAGAAUGCACAGUGUGAUAGCCACAGAGUCCUGUGCUACAGAAGUACAAGAGGCUUGCUUGAUUUCUCUGCUUGAAACUGAUCAUGUUUGAUAUUAUGGUGUCCACCAUGGCUCUUCCUGAGAAACUCUGAGAAGGUCUUAUUUUCAGGCUCAACUAGUUGCUGACCAAAUUCACUUCCAGGCAGCUGCUGAUUCUGGUGGCUGAGCAGGAGUUGCUCUAAGAUCCUUGAGGCCACCAUUGUGUGCCUUGUUCCUUUAACCUAUAAGUCACCAUGGUGGCCCUCCUGCAUCCUGAUUCACAUCUUUUCUGUUCCCCUUCAUCUACAGCUCUCACUCCCAGCUCUUUUGGUCUCCUCUGCAGCUUGGAAGACGUUUGGGUGGCUACACAGAUCCUGGCAGAACCGUCUUCUAGGCACCUCUACUACCAUGCCUAGAUGUUCAUUUCAUUCUGCAAGGAGCUGGAAAUCUCAGAGCUACAUCUUUAGAGUUUCCCCUUCCAUGAAGAAGGAAAAGUCCACAUGAACCUCAUGGCAGCCUUGCUUUUGAGAGUCAGAGACUAAAUCGCUCAUUGGCUUUCCCAACGUUCUGUAAAACAUGUUACUUAUUCUAUAGUGUUUCAUAUAUGGAUUCAAUGAAUUUAGGUUGUUUCCACUCCCAACCCUGCUUUCCCAACUCCUUCUAGACUCUCUACCUACCCCUAACCACAUGUCUUCUUAUCCUCUUCCUCUCCUUCCUUUUUUUCUUUAUCUCUUUAGCAUUCCGUGGAGUACUUGGUACUGCCCUUCUAAGUGUGGAUAGAGAGUGCUAUCCAUUGCUGCUUGGGCAACCUUCUGUGGGCUAUAUCUCUGAAGAAAACUGAGCCUCUCUUCCCCCAUAGCCAUCAUUUGCUAAUUGUUCCUCAACUCUUUCCUGCUCUGAGCUGGAGUGCCCAGUUCUUAAGUAGAAAUUCAGACCAGUUUAUGAACUUAAAGCCCUACAUGGUGCUUGUAAGAAUGUAAUGCUAGACUCCAGCUGCUGUUCCCACCAUGAUACUUACAGAUACUGACAAGCACCUAACUAAGUUGUCACCUAGCAAUCCCUAGCCAACAGACUUCUCAGGGAAGUGAGUUAACACCAAAGGUGAUUGGUAUGAUAACUACAUAUCCUGCUUCCCUGCCCUCUUCCCUGACUCUAACCUGGAAAUUGGAAAGCCUGGCUUCAGGCUUGGGAUGUGCAAUUUCCUUCAAAUUCAGAAGUGAUAAGAAGAGACUCCCCCAUCUGCCAUGGGGGCUCUGGAGUCUCUCUGCAGAGACUCUAUCAUGUUGUCUGUCUCUGGUGCUAGGGCCAAAACUGUCCUCAGAGGCUCCACCAUGCUGUUGUCUGUCUUUCCAUCUGCCCAUGAUAUUACUAACUCAUCUAAUAAACUUUGUACACAAUAGUCCAUCUCAGUGUUCCCUCUAACCUCCAUCUGAGCCCCUUCUGGACUCUUCUUUACAAAAUCAUACUCCUGCUUCUAGAAAGUUCUCCAGAAGAAAAAUUAACAUAGUUCAAUAAUUAAAAUUAAAAGUAUAUCCUUUCUCUUUCAGGAACAAGAGAUCCAUGUUAUUUUUGUUUUCCUGGGUUGUCUGUGCAAUGUUCUCUUACAUGGAGCACAAAUGUACUCAAGAACUUUUUGCCUCUUUGUUCUCCUUUCUUUAUCCUCAAACACAGGGUAGACAAUACACUCUCUACAGUGUGAACUUGUCAUUAGCUAAAACUUCAAAUUGUUUCCAAAGGGCAGUGUUCACCUCGCAGAACUACCCAAUUGUCUCUAGCCCAUCUACUGGAAGCUGGGUUUUCUACCUGUUGUGACAUUCUUUUGUCCACAUAACACCACCAAAUGAGUUUCCGAACUUGUAUCGCAGUUUAAGAAUUUUCAGACAUGGGUAUAUUUCUAAGAAAAUAAAGGAAAGAUACAUUCCAUAUUUUUAAAAUUACUUCUGUCUUGGACACAGCUUUUAAGCUCUUUUGAUCCAGUGAAGUUCUUAUUAGCAUUUUUACCAUAAAUUAAAGAGUACCCACCCUCCUCCCUGCAGAGAAGAAGAUUGGCCUAGUUAAUUUAGGCUGCCACAGCAAAGUGUGUUGACAGGUUAGCUUAUAAACAACAUAAAUGUGUCACAACUGUGAAGGCUUGGCAUCUGAAACCAGAGGACAAACAUGGAUGGAUUCUUACAAGUGUGUUGUUCCAAAAACACAUGGUGGUUUUUCCUCUGUCAUCUCAAGGUAGAGAAAUAGCUAGCCAGAUCUCUGGAGUCUUCUUUAUAAGAGGAAUGAUUCAGUUACAUACGCACCAUGCUUAUAACCUAAUGGACAGCAAAGGUGUCACCUUCUAAAAUCAACACUUUGAGAGAAACUCAACAUUUGAAUGUUGUGAGUCCACUGCCAACAACAAAAAUUCACAGGAAGAGGACACAACUGGGCGUGGCCUGGAAUAACAGAACAUGGGACUUCCACUGCCCAUCUCCUACCCUGGGGGUUAGUUCUCCCACUGUGCCAUGCAGGGCAAAAACCCUGAAAAGUCAUGUUAGGGAAAUGCUGAGGUCAGCAGUUAGGAGUGGGACUGGGUAAGAUCCAGAAGCACUCACGGUUCUUUUUUCUGAAGAUACGUUCAGGGUUCUUGUGGUUGUUAUUGGUAUCCAAUAAACUUGUAGUUUGUGAUCAAAGCAAUCAUGAAAAUAGGAAACAGACCCGGAGAGAAACUUAACCUCUAGAUACAGCGUUUAAAAAAAGAACAACAACAACUUAGGUUUCCCACAUUUAUCAAUUCCUUGAAGUACAGUUUGUUAAAAUUUCCUUCAAAUAAAUAAAUUUAAAAUCCAUGACCACAUACAGGGAAUUAGGUAAAGAACAGAAAUGAAAGAUAGAAAUAGAAGUUAAAAGGCCACCGUUUGUAUCUAUUAGAUAGUAUCUAUCUUUCCAGAGCGCCAGAUGCUGAGAGUCUUCAAACCAGAGCCUGACACCACCUACCAGGCAAGUGGCUGGUUCCCCGUGGUUCACUGUUGGUCACUAGUGCUCUUCUGCUCUUCAGAAGAUUCAGGAUUAAAGCUGGAUAUAGACAAGUAGACCUUUAAUCCCAGCAUUUGGGAAGCAGAGGCAGGUGGAUCUCUGUGAGUCUGAGGCCAGCCUCAUCUACAUAGUAAGUUCCUGGACAGGUGGGGCUAUGUAGAGGGACCCUGUCUCAAAAACAAAAACAAAAGCAAGCAAACAACAACAAAACAAAUAGAUCCAUGAAGGGUUAUUAAUAGCACAACGACUUGGAUGAUACUGUCAUUUGAUGCUUAUCUUCCUGGAGGCUCAGUGAAGUUAAUAUAGAAUGUAUAACUUCAGUGUUUCUGUCUAUGCCACGCACAGCUGUGUCAUCAAAAGCAACAAGCUAUAGUUUAUUCUUGAACCAGAUAUCAGUGACCAUGACCCUGGAAACAUAGAUUCACAUUGCCUGAAUACCAUGUUCCAACAUGGAAAUGGUCUCAUGAGGCUUUUACAGUUACAGAGCAAAAGAGACUCACAAAUCAAACCAUUUUCUAAACUCAAUAGUGUGGGAGCAUCAAGUUACUCCAAAGGGGAGAAAUCCCCAUAUAGGCUGAGAUCCUGUCGGAGGGUAGGUAGUCUUAGCUUUGGGGUUGACGAUCUACCAAGUUAACACAUUUGAAAUGGUCCUACCUGACAUUUACAAGGGUUUUCGAUCACAGAGAGAAAGGGCAAUGAAUGGCUGUUGGGAGGGUAAUCAUAGCCCGGGAUAACCUGACCCUGCAUCUGUAACACGGCAAUGCAAUGCAAUCACAGUUCCAAAGAGUCAGUGUCCUAGCUUCAUGUCUGUUGCUGUGAUAAAAACACGAGCCUAACUGAGAGGGGAAAGGAUUUGAAUGGACCACAAUUCCAGCCUAUGGUUAAUCACUGAGGGAAAAGUGAAAGCAAGAUUCUGGUCACACCACAUUCACAGUGAAGAGCAGAAAGAAAGAAUUGCAUGCAUACUCAUUUGCCCCACUCGUACAGAGUUCAGGACUCCUCACCUAGGGAAUGCCUUUGCCCGAUGGUCUGGGUCUUCCCACAUCGAGUGAUUUAGUUAAGGCAAUGCCUCACAAGUAUGCUCACAGGCUAGCUGGAUCAAUGUAGAAAAUAAUUAAGACUCUUCCUAAAUGACCAUAGAUUAUUUCAAGUUGAAAAUUGAAGACAAUCAUUGGAGCACUGUAGAAUCUUCAACACAGGUGUAGGUUUUGCUGGGAACUUCAGUUUCCUUGUGCUAGCAUAUUAAUUUACAUACCUAUGCAUGUGAAUAUUAUAUACUUGUGUGUGUGUGUAAAUUUCAAAUUUUCUGAUAUCUCUUAUGAAACCAUAUCUGUCUGAUGAUUAAUCUGAAUUAGCAGAAAGGGAAGAAAAUGCUUUCUUUUAUCAAUCUUUGAACUUAUUUGCUUUGGACCUUGACUUUUUUCAUUAGCUGUUGCUGCACUUACAACCGGGCCACCAAUGGCUCUUUUUAAACCAUGGUCUACGUGCUUGCUUCCGUGGGGUAUGUACUACAGAAAGGCAGAGUCGCCAGAUCUGUAGUUAACACAGUGGCUUCCUCACGUGAUAUACCCUGGCUUCCAAGCCCAUCCCACACAUAUAAGUAAAACUCUUUGUAAAUUUGUGUAAUCAAAGAAGGCGGGCACUGUCUGGAAGAUGAAGUACGUGGAGACACACCAUAGUCUAGCAGUGCUCACCAAAUGAGCAAAUGCUAGAAAGUACAGCUUGUGCGCUUAGUAGAGUCAGAUAGGAAAGUACUAUGAACAGUGUGGGCGUGUUUGGGGAGCACACAGAACCGCAGGUACAAUUAGGUACCCAGCUAAUGGUUUUAGCCACAGAGCUUUCGUGUUCUUAUCCCUAUGAUUUCCCUGUAAUUUAGCCCCAUGGAAAACUUUUAGCAGACAUUUCAUGGGGCAGUUAACUCCGUGGCAACCAUCUAGUCUAAUUGGAAUCAUGUAGUUAAAGCCCCAGGUAGUACUUGAGAGUGAAAGGGGUGUCUUUCAACUCAGGUAACUGUGGUUUUGCUUUGGGCUUCCCUGGAACAAUGUUCCCUGAUGCAUGGCUGACUGCAGAAGGCACAUACCCAGGCAGCCUUAAAAGGGACAGUGUUUAAUCAUCAGCGAAAGAAGAGCUCGUCCAUCUCCCCCUGAUGCUUGUCAUUUAUGAGCAGACCUGGGGGCCCUGGUGGACCUCAUGCAGUAGUGAUGGCUCUGAGGACAGAGUGGCAGCAGGGUUCUCUGCUGGCCACCAUAGGUAGCUGGUCCUUGGCCACUGAAGCAUUCUGUCCCCGCAGCUCUGCAAAGCAAUUACCAAAGACCUCGUCGUCUUGAUUUAUAAAGAAAUUGCCUUCCUCAGGGGAAGACCAUCAGGCACACAGUAAUCCAAACAGCUAGACUAUGCUAAUCCCUUAAAAAUUAAGGAAACUCCAUUCUCAGGAAACAGGUCUGGCUGGGCCCUGAUGAGGUGCCAUUUGUACUCAGCUGUGGAAAGAGAAGAGAGGCAGAGAAAGAAGUCAGGAGCUUUAAGUCAAUUUGGCUCCCCAGUGAAAUAGGCAGAAGUGUGGCUAAUCCUAGCAUAGUUAAUAUUGCUUGUUAUGUAUGCCUGGUAUUUCAGAUAAUGCUUUUUAAAACUUUGAUCAUUUUUAAUUAGCACACAAAGUAACAGCUUUUUUAUGGAAUUUUUGUACAUAAGUUUUUGGCUGAUCCUCCUCUCAUCUUAUCCCAAAUCCGUCCUUCCUGUGUCUUUGCAUCUCUGGGGGCCUCAUUUGUGUUCUCAUGUCAUGUGUGUUCAGUUGUAAACACAUACAUGUGUGCAUGCCUCCUUACAACCUUUUUUCCCUUGUUUAGAUUCAUGAGCUACACCCCACACUUACACUGACACAGUGCGCGUGCGCGCACACACACAAAUAUUUGAUAUUAGAAGCAAAGAUCUAUAUUGGAGAGAGAAUAUGCAGUAUUUGUCUUCCUGAGACUGAGUUAUAUUACUUAGCAUAAUGACUUCCUUCCAAGGUGACCCCAUUUCCUAAGAACUUCAUAAUUUUACCAUGCUUUAAGGCUGAAUAAAAAUCAUAUAUAUAUGUAUAUGUGUGUAUAUAUAUAUAUAUACAUACACACACAUAUGUACCUUUACUGACUAUUCUUCUGAUGAUGGACAGAUGGACAUCUGGUAUUGUAGCUACCUUACUAUUGUGAAUAGCACUAAAGUCCACAUACAUAAGCAGGUGUCUUUGAAAUAGGACAGGGAGUCACUUGACAGUAUGUCCACAAGUGUUGCAUGUGAUAGUUCUAAUUUUUGCUUGCUAAGAAAUCUCCAUACUCACUAGUAUAGUGGCUAAACUGGUUGGCACUCAGGCCAGCAGUGAGGAGGGAUUCCUCCUACCACAUUCAUGGCAGAAUUAUUUGCCAUUUAUCCCCCUCCCUUUUUGUGAAAGACAUUCAAACUGAAACGUGAUGGAGUCUUACAGUACUUUCAACAUCGAGUUUUCUGAUGUCUAAGGACACUAAACAACUUCCUAGAUGUUUGCUGGAUAUUUGUGUUUCUUCUUUUAGUGAACUGUUCAGUUCCUUAGCUCAUGCAUUGAUAGUUUGAGGUCAGCGGUAUUUAACUUUGCAUUUUUUAUAUAUAGUCUAGAUAUUCACCUCCAAUCUAAAGGUAGCUGGCCUAGGUUCUCCUCUGUUCUUGAGGCUAUCUGAUCGCUCUUCUGACAGUUUCUUUUGUGGUGCAAACUCUUUGCAAUUUCAUAUGCAGAAGCUUUGUGGUUUCAUGUCAUCCCCUUUCCUGGCUGCUGAACUCCUAGUCGAAAAGCUCUUGCCUACAACUCUAUCUUGACGUGUCUCGCCUGUCCUCCUCUAGCAGUUUCUUCAUUUCUACUGAAAUGUAGGUUCUCUGUUCUUCAUUUCAUUUCUUUCAUGUUCUCUGUUUCUUCAUUUCAGCUGAAAUGUAGGUUCUCUGUUCUUUUGGAAUUGAGAGAGAGAGAGAGAGAGAGAGAGAGAGAGAGAGAGAGAGAGAGAGAGAACAGAGGGA
Mus musculus (house mouse) is the source of this 22443-nucleotide long non-coding RNA. RefSeq annotates it as predicted gene, 53868. The transcript has 2 exons. The record is from RefSeq and is a predicted model, not a curated record. NCBI's taxonomy places the organism in Eukaryota, Metazoa, Chordata, Mammalia, Rodentia, Muridae.